Labrus bergylta (ballan wrasse) is the source of this 429-nucleotide non-coding RNA. NCBI's taxonomy places the organism in Eukaryota, Metazoa, Chordata, Actinopteri, Labriformes, Labridae. The record is from RefSeq and is a predicted model, not a curated record.
AUGAACGGCUGGCCACAAGGCAACAUUGGAGGAAACAGUAUGUUCUCACAGCAGCAGGCAUCGCCGCAGUUCACUCAGCAGAACAACAGCAACAUGUACAACGGCAAUGGCAUGAACCUUAACAACGUCUCCAUGGCCGCCAACAUGGCUACCAGCAGCAUGGGCCAGAUGGGCGGGCAGAUGAGCGUCACGUCCAUGGCCUCGGGGCCCUCGCCCGGCUUGCCCUCCAUGGGAACAGAACAGAAAUACUGUUGACCCUCAUGGAGCUCUUACCCUGAACCUCAGUGAUCAGCUGGUCCAAGGAGCACGUCGGCCCUUUAAAAUUGUACAAACAUGUAACCAUCUGACGGCCCCUUGAACCAGCCAGGCCCGGACCCCGGCCCCCGGAUGUCACCCCCAGCUCCGAGUUUGCUGUCUGUCCCCAGGCCG